UGGGGGAUAUUGCACAAUGGGGGAAACCCUGAUGCAGCGACGCCGCGUGUAGGAAGACGGUCCUCUGGACUGUAAACUACUGUCUUCGGGGACGAUAAUGACGGUACUUCUGAAGGAAGCCCCGGCUAACUACGUGCCAGCAGCCGCGGUAAUACGUAGGGAGCAAGCGUUGUCCGGAAUUACUGGGCGUAAAGAGCACGUAGGCGGUAACCUAAGUCAGAUGUGAAAGACCAGGGCUUAACUCUGGGGUUGCAGACGAAACUGGGUAACUAGAGUGCAGGAGAGGAAAGUGGAAUUCCUAGUGUAGCGGUGAAAUGCGUAGAUAUCGAGAGGAACACUCGUGGCGAAGGCGGGUUCCUGGACAUUAACUGACGCUGAGGUACGAAGGCCAGGGUAGCGAAAG
This 403-nucleotide ribosomal RNA is filed under the name uncultured bacterium. RNAcentral describes it as "bacterial SSU rRNA". It matches the Rfam family "Bacterial small subunit ribosomal RNA", at positions 355 to 774 of the family's 1533-position model. The record is from RNAcentral.